AUAUAGAACGCUGGAAUUUAAGCAUAGCACAAAGUGACAUUAGUUGUUUGUUUUUUUUACACAUAUACCAAAUGGUUUAAAAUAAAGAACGAUUACGAUAUGAUCUAAAAAGCUGUCGAUAUUUGUUCAGGUUUCAUAAAGUUUUCUGUUUGAUGGUCUCCUAUAGAUCAUGUUCUUCCGUGCACUCCGCAGUUUUUCUACUGAAUUGUUCCCAGGGAUUCCAGAACAUUCAUUUACAUCACUUUCAUUCUUUUAGAUAUAGUGGAGAACAUUCACACCAGGUUGUUUUGGUUUAAUAAAGACCAAAGAGAAAACAAACCUUGUUCUGUUUCUGACUACCUCAGGGUUUCUUUUAAAAUCUUCACUUUUUUAUGAACAUUCGAUUUAUGGUGCACUUUAACCUUCCUCCUCUGUAUGGGGGUCCCAUGAUUCUCCAAUAUUAUCAAAACAUGAAAAACAUAUUUGCGGCCAAAAUAUUUUCUUUGCCUUGUCCAACAGUCCAAAGGUCUUCCUGCCUUAAUAAAAAAAACUUAGUUCAGGAGAAGGCUUACAUUUUGUCCUUGACAUUUUGUGCACUAAAGGAAUCCAUAUUACUUCUAAGUUAAAGCUGCAGAACAUAGAACAGCCUUAGAAAAUACAUGGGUUUAAUUUUCUUACACAGUAUUCUACCUUGGCCUGUUUAGUUGAACAUGGGCUAAUAUACUCACAGGAAUUGAAGAACACAUAUGAAGAUUUUCCAUAUCCAUCUGCUGCUCAUUAGUGGGAGAGUAUUAAAUUGUUCUGUCCGUCGGUCGCAUUGAUGAACAAGUUCAAUUUGCAGUGAACACAUAACAGUUUUCUGACCAAUUCAUUGAUUUAAAAAUGGAAAGAGGCCAAGGUGUUAGCAGCUAUAUAAAUUUGAUCUUAGUCUUGCAAUAGUAAAGACUGGCUCUCUAAAUUACACAAUACGCUGGUGUGGCGCUAAGCUAAUGCUAAGCAAUGCAUGCUAGCAUACCACUAGCAUGCCCGUGAGAGGCUAUAUACGUACUAGGGUACUUUUAAAGGAGCGCUAACAUGCUAGAUGUUAACAAGCCAAUAUUAUGCUACUUGCUAAUGGCUGCCAAUGCAUGUGUCUGAACAGUCAAGAUUAGGGGAAAGAAUACAGUGAUUUAUAUAAUGAGGCAUAGAAAGAAUGUGUGAUUUCUUGAAAUAAAAUCAUUUAUACUUUUUUGAAUAUAUUUUUGAAUAUAUCUGCAGGUAACGCAAGAUAGGGAGAGUGUCUGAAACUGAGACUAAAAGAAUGAUCCUCUGACAAGAAGUGGUUGAUAUAAGAGUCAGAAGAAGUGCUUAAUGCUGAAAUCAAUGAGUUUAGAAAUGUUGUGAUUAACAUUAUGAUUUGUGUAAUAUAAUUGUGUAAUAAAUAAAAAGAAGUGCUGUGGUACACAGUCAAUCUUAAGAAUAAAAAGGAGAAGUGUGUGAACUGUUGGAAAUAUACAGGAAGGAUGUUCAGGACAUGACUCACAUAGUGGUCAGGUCAUGAUGCACAUGAUGGACACAAGUGUCCAGGAAAGGCCUAAAAAGUAAAGAAUGUUUUUGUUGUUGUACUGUAUAAAUACAAGGUGCAAGAGCUAAAAAGUUCAGUUUGUGCUUCAUCUCUCCCCCUCACACCAGGACCCUGUCAUGCCUCAGGAAAGGAGGAUUGUGGACUUGAAAGAACUCACGAGAGGAGCAGAAAAGUUUUUAUCGACUAAGCCGGAGUGAAGAAGGAUUAUUUCUCCGAGUUUGUUUCGCAACAAGAAAGAAUUGGAUUAUUUCUCUGCUUCCUCUCGCCACAACUGCCAUCAGACCACAAGAGUGCUUCGCCCAGGGGGAAGCAGCCCCGUACUGGGCGGCUUAGGGCGUCGGCUCUUCCGGAGCAGUGAGGACUGAACGUACCGAGGGCCUAAGGUUGUGUCCUCUCCCACCAGUGGGCAACAGGUUCAGAAUAUAAUUUUAUUUUUGACACAACGCCACAGCACAUUUAUAUUAUAUUUUGAUCUGUGAAGAUUCACCACUGGUUUAAGUCUAUUCUCUGAAAAACCCAGUUACAUGCCCCUGACACCGUUGAGGUGUUUAAAACCCUUUUCCGGCAAUCAACAAGUGCCAGGAUCAUGAGAGGUGAGCUGUCAUGAAUGAGUGUGGUCGCAUGGAGCACCCCGAGCACCAGGCUGUUCCUCGGUAGUGCACGUGCGGCGGCAGCGGGGCGGACACCCAGACGGAUGACAGUCAGGAGCUGGACGAGUCACCUCGACCAUAGGCCUAGGCAGAAACGCAGGUGACCGGAGGACGGUCUCGAGUGAGGGACCUGGGGAGUGAAGUGGCACAGCCAGCACCCACUCCGGCCCCACGGGUUCUUACCCCUUACACGGAGGGCCUAUCAAGCUACGGGUGGGCCGUAGCCUGAGAUCUAACCGCAUCUGCUCGGCUUCAAAUGGAAUAAAAAUCAUCUCUAAAGAGAAGACACAACUUCUACUGCAGAGAGAUGUGGAGGCACAAUGUGUCCUGCUGGGAUAAUGCGUCUGUCUGCAGUGUGGGCGGUCAGGUUGGAGCGCCAGCUGGAGGUAAACGGGGGAACAUGCUUCCCUGCCGCGUGCAGCCGCCUCAAACACACCCAGCCUACGCUUCAGUGCUUUAAAAAACCUGGUUCUGGUCGAGUUCUGCACAGAGGCACAACGUUCCUGUGGAGCUGCUUCAGGGAGAUGUUCUUCAAAAUGUCACCUCAUAUAUCUUUACUUUUCCACAUGACAUUAGAAAAAGAAAUUCAACAGUUUUAACAAUUUAUACUACAGUUCAAAUUUGUUGAUAAUUUAAGAGUUAUUUCAAAUUAUUAUUUAUGUCAAGUUACAAAGAUUACAAUAAAUUAAAUGCUACUUUUGUUCUACACACUUCACCACCAUGCCUAAAAAGUUAUUACUUACUAACUUUAUUCAUUUCUUUUACCAUGAACUUAUUUAACUUUAUUUAUAAUAGUGCUUUCAUUAAAACAUUUUAAUUUAAAAUUGACCUUAUUCCUCAAUUGCUACUACUAAAAAUGGUUAACACUUCUUGACUCUUAAUGACAUGAAAAGUAAAUAA
Long non-coding RNA from Cynoglossus semilaevis (tongue sole), 3093 nucleotides. RefSeq lists it as uncharacterized. Lineage: Eukaryota; Metazoa; Chordata; Actinopteri; Pleuronectiformes; Cynoglossidae. The transcript has 2 exons. The record is from RefSeq and is a predicted model, not a curated record.